This is a long non-coding RNA of Herpailurus yagouaroundi (jaguarundi), 2714 nucleotides long. RefSeq lists it as uncharacterized. NCBI's taxonomy places the organism in Eukaryota, Metazoa, Chordata, Mammalia, Carnivora, Felidae. The record is from RefSeq and is a predicted model, not a curated record. The transcript is spliced from 3 exons.
UUUCCAGGACCUCUGCUGGGAGAAUGGAGCCCCAGGCUCAGUGCCAGGUGACCGCGGGCAAGAUUGGGUGCAGCCCCAUUGGCCACGAGCAGCCGAUCCGAGCUCCACACCUGCUCUGAUGAUGGACCCCACCGGGCUUUGGCAGCCGCGUUUCCUGAACUGACGCACGGCCCUGCUUCCGGGGGCCCGUGCUUGCAACAUCUUUCCACCAUAAAACCGCCAUGGAAGUUAAUUGCCUGCAUCGCUUUGCAAUUGAACAGGUCCAUAAAAUGUUCAUUUGGUGCCGUCUCAGGGACUGAACGGGUGGCCAGUCGUUUGGCUUCGGGCGACAGCAGACAUCUGGGGGGCGGUCCCUAGGCAGGGAGGCGUCUCCGAAAUUGCUGAUGUUGAGCCUUCGGAGGGACUUUCUCGGAGCCGUUCCAAAGUGUGUAGGAGCGACUGGUCAUUUACUGGAAUAUUCCUGCCGGGGGCUGUGGAGGCUGCCAAGAGAUAUUUGCAAUUAAGGUGCAAAACUGAAGCCUGAUGGAAAUGAUGGUUUGCAUGUCAGCGUCAGCUUGCGUGAGUGGCCACUGGGGACUGUGGUCUACAUCAUAAAUUACUUUCCACGGAAAGCCUGGUAGCCGGGAGGAUGUACUGAUUUUGGAGUUGGACAGUCUGGAAGUUUGACACCUGGCUCCAUCACUGGAUGGCUUUGGGCAAAGCAGAGUCUGUCUUCAGCCUGAGGCGGUGAUCAAUUUUCAGACUGUGCCCCGCCGUGGGGAAAAGACUUGAGCAGGCUGGCUGCCCCCAUAUAAGUGUAUUUGGAAUUUUAAGUGAUAUGUGCGGAUCUGAAACAUAAAACAGCCCCCCAAGGCAGUGAACAAGGAACGAGAUAUAAAAUACCUGUAAACAGUUUCUGGGAUAUUCUUCCCUUGUAUGAAGCAUGCCGAGGUGGGGUGGAGCCUGAGCACUGCUGAACAUUUCUAAAAGGAAGAGGGACAGGUUCUGACGCGUGCGUUUAGGUGGAUGGUGCCACAGUACGAAUGCAGCUCGGAGGCAAGACCAGGGAGCAGACGGGUGAUGCCGAAGUUGCUGCAGGAGAUGUGCCCGAGGAACUUGCAGCCAGGAUGCAGGAGAGCUCUGGGUUGCGGACCAAUUUGAGAGACGGAUCGGAUGUGGGGCGAGCGGAUUGGAGAGGUGCUUGGGCUGACCUGGUUUCUAGCUUGGGGCACUAAAACCUAAAGCACACGGACCCUCGACUCCAGUGGCCUCGGCCCCGGCAGGAAGCGCGAGUCGGUGGCUGGGCGCAACACGUGAAGACCCGGUCAAGUUCAGAUGCCUUGGAAACUCCUCCGUGUGGCCAGAGAAAGCCCGUGGAGUUGAGCCUGCGGAUUUGUUGGGACCUGGAAGCCAAGGAGGUUUGAGGUGACCGCCCGUAUUGAGAUGACCGGGGAGGCAGUAAGGAUGCUUAAAAUCAGCUUUCUCUUUGGAGCUGGCGCACCCGGAGGGGGUGGCCGAGGCACCUGUGUCCCCUCUUCCCUACUGGCAUUGCCAGCCCAUGGUCAGGAUUUAUUAGCUCUUACUCCCCAUCUCCCACCUUACAGGGUGCAAAGCAGCUAAAACACAAGUACAGACUCUGAUGUGAUGGAGGGAGGGAUGUGUGCCUUCCUUCCUCCCGCCCCUCCCUGCACCCCUGCCCGCCACAGGUGACUCUGAGGGCCAUGGGACCCUCCUAGGGCGUCUCUGUCCAGGCCCCACCCCAGCCCCCAGCCCUGGAUGGCACCUCGUCUUAGCUGCUGCCCCAUCUUACUAGUAGAGAGAGCAGGACUCAAGGGGGGUGGAAUUACUUACCCAAGGUCACCUGGGAACUGGGAGUCACCUAAUCAUGGGCUGGGACUGUCCCUGUGAGGCACAGCACCUAGGACCGGCCUGUGAAUCAGGGAAGGACAGGAGGAGGUCACCCUCCCACCGACAGAGGGACAGAGGGACAGCAAGGAGCAGAGAAAAAGGUAAGGCGAGCCAGAGGCCGGAGCCUCUCCUGCAGCCCGGGUUUGCCAGCCUGGCCUGUUCCACACCGCGUCUGAGCUACAAGCCCCUCGGAGGGUGCCUGACCCUGGGAGUGGGAACUGGGGACCCCCGGGCUGGAUCUUGCUAUCUUCAAAAAAAAAUUGAAAUAAUUUCCAACUUCCUGUUGCAACAAUAGUAUAAAGACCAACGAUUAACAUUUUGCCACAUUUUGCUUCUAGCACGGACAUGACUAUUUUUUUUCCCUUCACCUGUUGAGGCUUAGCUUUAGACCUCAUGCCUCUGACCCUUAAAUACGUCAGCGGGCGUAUCAUAAGAGUAAACGCGUCCUCCGUCAAAAUGCUGUUGUCCAAUUCGACUUUGGUACAACACCAUUGUCUACUCUACACACAUAUUUACGUUUUGGCAUUUUCUCCCCCAGACGGUCCUUCCUGGCGAUCCUUUUUCUCCCUCACCUGAUCUAGCAUUUAAUCCAAGACGGUACUUGCCCUGUGUGUGUUUUCCUUUCACCUGCACUAGUUCAACUCUUUGUCUUCUUUCCAUCUUGGUACGUUUGAGAAGCUAUUUUGUGGAAUGUCCUAUUUUGUGGGAUGGCCCCCAGGUUGGGUUGGUCUGAUGCUUUCCAAGCAAGUUACGCCUUCCUGGCAGGAAUAAUAGGAGAUGCGUGAAAAAAAUGAAGCUGGUGGCAAAUAAAACUCUGAAAGAUUUUA